This 442-nucleotide ribosomal RNA is filed under the name uncultured bacterium. Its description in RNAcentral is "bacterial SSU rRNA". It matches the Rfam family "Bacterial small subunit ribosomal RNA", at positions 958 to 1399 of the family's 1533-position model. The record is from RNAcentral.
AACGCGAAGAACCUUACCUACUCUUGACAUCCAGAGAAUUUAGCAGAGAUGCUUUAGUGCCUUCGGGAACUCUGAGACAGGUGCUGCAUGGCUGUCGUCAGCUCGUGUUGUGAAAUGUUGGGUUAAGUCCCGCAACGAGCGCAACCCUUAUCCUUUGUUGCCAGCACGUAAUGGUGGGAACUCAAAGGAGACUGCCGGUGAUAAACCGGAGGAAGGUGGGGAUGACGUCAAGUCAUCAUGGCCCUUACGAGUAGGGCUACACACGUGCUACAAUGGCAUAUACAAAGAGAAGCGAACUCGCGAGAGCAAGCGGACCUCAUAAAGUAUGUCGUAGUCCGGAUUGGAGUCUGCAACUCGACUCCAUGAAGUCGGAAUCGCUAGUAAUCGUAGAUCAGAAUGCUACGGUGAAUACGUUCCCGGGCCUUGUACACACCGCGUGUCU